AGGGGCAUAUGGAGUUAGGGAAUCUAGAAAGCCUCUUAAAGCGAUAUUGUGUUCACCAGCCUGCAACAUUGUCCCCACUGAUCCUUGCUUCCUGGUAGUCAUGACUGUGUAAUCUCCCUCACAUCAGAGCUGGUCUGUGUGACUGCUCCGCCACAAGCCCAGCUGGGCUCCGACAAUGGGAUAUCAUGCUGAGAGACCGAAGAAACGACCCAGAGACUGCGAACAAGGCACACAGGUUUAUUGGGCCCUACUUAUGAGGAGGCGGCAGGCUGGACAGAAGUAUGCGCCCUCCCACAACCGCCCCCUAAGAGACGCUUGCUUAAGUAGGCAGAGGAACAAAGGCUGCAUGUUUGCCAAAGGGCUGUCCUUGGUAUGACCAGCGUUCCCAGAAAAGUAGCUCACACGGAGGGGCUCUGUGUCUCCCUGUAAGACCAAUGUUCUUCUCGUGGGAUAAGGGAGAAUCCAGGCUGGCCAGGCCCAGAUUGUUACAAAUCCCAGUAGCUGGGCCGCCUGCUCAGAAGAGAGUCGGAAAGACAACUGGUUGCAAUGGGCCUGGGAGUUUCUGCUGAGCAAGCAAGGCCCAGGCCCUACAGUGACCAAGAGUAUGGUGAAAGUGUUGACCUUAAAGAGACAGCCAGUUAUUUCUCCAGCAAAAAUCGGUUUAUUCAAGAUCAACAAAGAAUCACGAUUCAGUAUCUGCAACCUUGGCAAGUCACGUGUAAGUUCCUAGCAGCAAGAGAAGGAGAAACUCUUUUAUAGAGGGGAAGAGGAAGUCGGCAGGGCUACUGUAAAGAAAGAGUCCAUUGAGGAAUUGAGAGUUUGAAGUGUAGUGACUUUUCAUUGGCUAAAUUGUGACAGCAUCUCAUUGGCUAAGCUCUUGCCAGCCAGAAGAGGAAGUCUUUCUUCUUCCUGUGGGGCUCUGCCCUGUGGUAGAGCUUGAGAGCCCCGAACUCCGUUUUAAAUGAGGUUUCUGUUUAUUACUUUUAACAGAGGUGAUGGUAAGUGACCUCUGAGGCCAGAUCGUAAAAAGUAUUGUGGCUUCCACCUUGGUCUCUUGGGUUGCUUGUUCUUGGGGAAUCCAGCUGCCACAGAGAACGUUCAAACAACCCUGCGGAAGAACGGAGGACUCCCACCAAGAGAAGGGAUCUUCUGCCCGCAGUCAAGCCUCCAGCGGCUCUCCCCUCAUGAGUAGUCCCCAGCAGGAUCGCUCAGCCAAGAUGCUCCUAAACUCCUGGCUCGCAAAAACUGUGGGCAAUACAAAGCAUCCAUGCAUUACCCACAAGGAGAGGACAUACUGUGUCAGGAUGCAGGGGAACAGAGUACCAGGAACAAGAAGACCUAGACGGGCCUUCUCCUUGACUCCCUGUGUUGUGUCCUGACUGCAGGCUACACCAGGUCUGAAUAAAAUAUGACCAGCGUCAACUUGGCUCCAAGCUCUUGACCUUUGUAGAAGAGAGCAACCUCCUCUUGUCUGGAGACAUUUGAAAGAUCACACCUGAGCAGGUUCCUCUCAAGGUUAUGGUUGUCUUCUUCAAGAUCUGACAUGACUUCCCUCAUUGCCUUCAGACCCAUAACUAUGGUGGAGAAAUAGCCUUUGAAGAACUGUGUGAUUUGUUCCAGUUUGCAAGGUCAGUAAGUGGCAGAAACAGGCCUUGACCCCAGUGUUUUUUAGCUUCAAGGUUCAUGGUCGUUCCUCUGUACCAUAAUGAAUUAUAAUAGAAGUAGAAAGGGCCUGUGGUGUAUAAAUGAAUUAAUCCUGGUUGGGGGAAUCUGGGAAAAAUUUUGGAGGAAGCAAAAUUUAGGUCUGACCUUUUGAAGAAUUCAACAGGUGACUAUGGGGAAGGAAAAGGCACUCCAGAUAGAGGACAAGCCUAGAGAGAGCAAAGCAUAAAGCAUAUCUGGAUAGUGAUGAGUGGUUUGGAAAUUCAAGGGGGCGAGAAAGCAUGUCCCAGAUGAAAUGCAGUGAGGCCAGGGACUGGGUCUGCUGUUGCUCACCCUUGUAUCCUCAGGGCCCAGCAUAGCACCUGGCACAUAGUAGACUUAACGAAUAUUUGUUGAUAGAUUGAAGAUAAGUCUGGAAACGAGACUGAGGUCAAGGUUCAAAGAGCUUUGAAUAUGAGGUUGAGUUUGAACUUUAUUCCAUGUGUGAUAUGAAGCCAUCUGAGGAUUGCAAAAAGAACGGCCUUAUCACUGAAUCUGUGGAAAUAUUUUCCUAAGCAGCCAUGUGUAGGAGGCUCUGGGACAGAAGACCAAGGUGGACGGAGACCUAUGGAUGAGGCCUGAAUGAGGGUAGUCACUGUGAUGGUAAAUUCAAAAGGUAUUUUGGAGACGGAAUCAACAGGAUUUGAGAUGAGAUUUUUGAGUGUGGAACUAAAAGAAGGAGGAACUUGGAGAUUACACAGCUUUCAAGGCCAAAUCCCUAGGAGGAUGGUGAUGACUCAAGAUAAUGAACAGAGGAAAAGAAUAGAAUAGAAACACUAGGUGGGGAAUGUCUGGGGUCAAAUGAUGACUCCUGCUCUGGAUGGUCUGUUUUUGAGACGCAUGUGGAACAUCUCGGGAAGAUAUUCAGCUGGCAGCCAGCAGAUGCUACCCUUAGGGGACAAGACAGAAGUAUAUAUUUAUGCAUGAUUCAGGUGGAGGAUACAAUUGAAACUGUGGGAAGAGAAUAAAUACUCAAUGAGAAACCCAGAUCAUCAAAUAAGGAAAAGUAGAUUGAGUAAUACCUGAAAUCAAAUUCUGGUUGUGUACAUAGACACAACUUUGAAAAGAACAUCAUAAACUGUAAGAGGGAAAGUUAGUUAAAGUCAUUCCAUACACUCUUUUCUCAUGACAAUCUGGGGCAGAUUUUGUAAAAAAUAUACGCACCCACAUACACUUCACAAAUAAUAGAAAUUUUAGUGAUAAAUUCUUCCAUUAAAAUUAUUUUUAAAAAGAAAACAUCUUUAGAAAAAUUUGGAAUAUAUCCAGAAUAAGUUGCUGACAAAUUAUUUUGCAGAUACCUUAUAAGAACAUGAAUUACUUACAAAAAGUGAAUAUUGCAUACCCUUGACAAUGUCCGCGUGACGCUUUCAUCCAUGCAGAGUAAAAGUUGCUAUUUUUCUCCUAUAACGAUGUUUUAUGAAUGACUGGUCCUAUAUUUGAAUUUUUUUCCCUGUGAGUUAAGUAUCUUAAUGGGUUUGGUUUCACAAAGGUAAACCAAAAACUGAGUUUGAAAAGGCUCAAGAAAUGGAAUUGUUCUUCAUAAUAGAAGAGUUUGGAGUUCUUCAGGGAACCCAGAAGGAAAGGGAUGGAGGUAAGGAGGAGAAUGGGAGGAGUAGAGAGAGAAGCAGCAAGAUAAUGAAUAGCCUGGUGCCAUGUAGGGUGGAGCAUGGGCUCCAAGAACUUGUAGGAACAUAAAUUGCUAACUCUCAGUGUCUUUUUAAAAAAUUUGAUUCCCCCAGUGAAGCCACCCACCAUCACUGCUAGCCUCCACCAAACCAGCAGUAAGUAAUAGAUGACAUGGACUAUCUUAAACCACUCAAGGCCUGUUAUUACAUAGAUGCCCAGAAAAGUGAAAUGACCCACCCAAGAUGACAGAUUAAAGCUUAGCUUUGUGUUCCUUCAAACCGCCUUGUACAUAGCAAGUGAUGAAUAUGUGCUGAAUUGAAUUGACAGUCUUGCCAGUGCUAAUCACAUAGAAGAGAGAAUAAAACCUAAGUUAUUUCAAUAAUUUAGUGUUUGCCUUGGAAAGGAUGAAGAAACUGAGACUGAGAGAGAUCAAAGAACUUGCCCAGUAAGCGGCGAAUUUGAAUCUAGACGCCUGAGUAAAGAGCCUGAAGUCUUAAUCAUCACGCUCUGCUCUCCUUAUGUUUUUAAGUGAGAAGACAGAGCAUGAUGACUCAGCUUAGAUGUCUUCCCUCCUACUGAGAAACCCAGGCCCCAAUCCUACACAGCUGGCAUCGCUUAACUGAACUCACUAGCUAACCUUCUAGUCCCGUCGGGCAGAACGCUCAAGCAGUUAGGUGAAAAGACGGUUAAUGACUGACUAAUGCUAACACAAGUCAGAAUACAUAAACUCAGCAAAGGUAGGCAAAAUGCUAUGGGAUGGGGCAAUGGAGAUUUACUGUUUCAUGGGUACAGAGUGUCAGUUUGGGGUGAUGAAAGAGUUUUGAAGAUGGAUAGGUGGUUGCACAAUAAUGUGAAUGUACUUAAUGCCACUGAACUGUCCGCUUAAAAGGAUUUGAAACGGUAAAUUUUAUGUUGUCUGUUUUAGCACAAUAAAAAAUGCUUUAGGAUGCCCAUAAUAGUUGUAUAUUUUCUGAAUCCUUUGGGGUCAUAAUGAGGAUUACAAAUAUAACAUUUUGGGUUUUCUAAGCUUUCUUAAGGAGGGCGACUUUAUGGGCUGACCAGCAGCUUCUGAUAUGACUCAGCACAAAAAGAUGGAAUGGGACUCUGUCUCUCUCAAUCUCUCUCUCCCCCACCUCCCUUCUGAUUAGGAAACAGGAAGAGAAGAUUUUUAGCAUAGCAGAAGUGGACAUGACAGGAAGCCCACAGAGCUGCCAUGAUGUAGGGCAACAAGGGAAAAGACAAGAGUACAGGCCUUGAGGAGUCAGAACAAGCCCUUGUUAUUAUCAUAAAAUGGAAACUAGCAGCAAGCAGACGCUUUAAGUAGAGGAGCAAAUAGGUGAAACAGAGAAACAGGCUAGUUUCAGAAACAGCUGGAUCCCAAUAGGCGCAGACUAGUGGGGAAUAGCUGAGUGCUGCUGGCAGAGAAGCCCUAUAGUGGGUCCUGAAGGCCUCUGCUCUCACUGUGGGCCUCAGACAACCCAUGGACUCUGAUUUCCUGGGCCCAGAGAGUUCAGAUAUUCAUGGGUUUCCAUGCCUCACUAUCCUUGCAGGAAUAAACUCAUCAUAUCAGGCAUUACUCAGAACUCUUUUAUAAAACAUGCUAUUUGAGUAGGGGGUGCUUCAGUUUGAGAGGUAUAGAAAGGAAACACGAUAUAGAGAAAUGCAAUAAAAAUGAACGAUGAUUGUGGAUGGUAAUCUAUUGGAAACUUUGCUAAGAAUAGGAUGAUUUAAUUUGAAAAAAUAGCUGAGACUGAUAAAAGAAGACCCAUAACAAUCAUUACCACUACCAAACUAAUAGUCACUCAAUAACGGGUCUAAAGAGGAGUGCUGGAAGGUGAAAGAUAGUCGUCUUAGCCAGUAGUAGAGCCUGAGACAAGAGCUGGUGUGCAGUUAGUUGAACGUGAUAACUGGGAGCUUGGAAUGAGGGAUCAGAGUAAAAAGGAAUGGAGAGAAAACCAGUGCAAAAAUGCAUUACCCCUAUGGGUUGUGAAGAGGAACAAAAUUUGCCACCCCAAAAUGUGUCUUUCUAACAUAAGGGUUAUUUUAGGCUGAUUAUUUUUAAGAAACAAAAGGCUCAGAAAGUUUUUCUUGUCACCUACCCCUUAACUGCCUAAAGGAAUUCAGGUAAAUUAAAAAAAUCUGCUCCAGGAAGCAAGCUCUUACCAUAGCAUAAUAUGAACUAGGUGGUAGAUAGGGAGGAACCCAGAAAAGCCUGUUUGUUGCACUCCCCUCUGUGCCCCGCUGUUUCUAUGUGACACCAAACAUUUAUUUACCAAACAUUUGCUCUUUUUCAUGUACCUGAGAAUUGCCUUCCUUCUCUUUAAAGGCCCUGACUCUCCCCACCUCCAACACCCUCUUUUGUCUUCAGCUGAGGCUGGUAUUUAAGGUGAGGGCCUCCUCCAUUUUGGAGAGUUACUCUGCUUUCCUGGGUUUUUCUCAAGUUUACAUGUUAUUAAACUUUUGUUUAUUUUUCUCCCAUUAAUCUAUUCUUUAUUACAGUGAGUGUCUCAGCCAAGAACACCAGAAGCGUAGAAGGAAAGUUAUUUUCCUUCUCAACAGUUGGUUACCCCUAAGGGCAAACAGUUACUUUUGAGAAUCUUUUAAGAAUUGCAAAAGAUGCCUCAAAACUAUCCACUCAAGGGAAGGAAAAAGGAAGCGUUUGUCCAUAGGUUCCUCUCCUAUUUUUGCCACUUGGAGAGUUAACUACCCUUUGGGGAGCAGGUCCCCAGGGGUAUCCCUAUGUCAGCGUUAGAGAAGCCCUGGCAAAGCUGGUUGAAUCUUGAGAGACGUUGAUCAUGGCAGCACAGCCGGAAUAGGGGUCAGGAGGACCUGGGCUGUUUACAGGAGGUGUCCGGUAUCGUGCGAUCUGUUCCUCUUGUUCCAGUCAGGCCCCCUAACCACAGUAAACCCAGAGAGCUAAGUUCUAAGGUAGACACCUAAGGCCUUCAACUC
This is a long non-coding RNA of Equus quagga, 6279 nucleotides long. RefSeq lists it as uncharacterized. Lineage: Eukaryota; Metazoa; Chordata; Mammalia; Perissodactyla; Equidae. The record is from RefSeq and is a predicted model, not a curated record. The transcript is spliced from 8 exons.